RNAcentral lists this transfer RNA (73 nucleotides) under Daphnia magna. It matches the Rfam family "tRNA". From Rfam's summary of the family: Transfer RNA (tRNA) molecules are approximately 80 nucleotides in length. The record is from Rfam by way of RNAcentral. Lineage: Eukaryota; Metazoa; Arthropoda; Branchiopoda; Diplostraca; Daphniidae.
CUCCACGAAGUCUAGCAGAAGGAGAUACCUGGCUUUCACCCAGGAGGCUCGGGUUCGAUUCCCGGUAUGGGAA